CGGGCAGCGCAUCCAAUCAAAAUCUUUGGAGCUAUGCCACCAAAGGCGGAGGUCAAGGAUUGUGUUUUCCUUACUGAACAACCAUUUGGAGGGCAAUCGGAUUAAAUUACCCAUAAAAAUAAUUGCUAGAACCGGCAUUCGUCGGUCUGAGAUAAACAGAGUGAAGUGAUAAGAUUACGUAGGCGGAAGAAAAUGUCCGCUCGCCGUCUCGUCCUGGAGCUCCUCGUCCACUAUGGAGGCCCAAAGGAUCUGCACCUAAGUGGACUGUGACAGCCACUGGCUGUCCAUCUGCAAGCCAUAGCCAUGAUAUCGCUGCUGUGUCGCUGAGUCGACAAUGUGGCGUCCCAUCCACUGCAGCAGGGACCAGUGAUCGACGGCGGAAUUGUUGGUUCACGCCCACAGGAAAUAAUAUCAGCAACCCCUUUUUCAUUUGCCGCCGAAUCAAACGCUGGGAUUUAGCAUCGAGACGCAGGACUUAUGUACCCAACGCUUUGCCACAAGCCUGAUACGACCAUCCGACGGAGACCUAUCCAAGCAUUAUCGAGGCGUAUUCGAGACAGACUGAGUCCUUUUCCAGACAGAGAGAAUCCUAUCCCAGCAAGACAGAAGCACACCCCUUGCAAGAUCCGAAGCAAGCCAUCGACUUUGCCAUCGACAACAAGGACUUUGACUAUGGUAACCAAGGGAGGAGCUACUCGGUCUGCUGGACUCUAGAUAGAUCUCGUUGUUGUUAAGGUUAAGGAUAUGAAAUUCCAUUCACUUAGAUAGUAGAUACAAAUUGUUUCCGCUUGUUCAUUUAUUUAUA
Molecule: small RNA, 805 nt
Filed under: Drosophila pseudoobscura pseudoobscura
Lineage: Eukaryota; Metazoa; Arthropoda; Insecta; Diptera; Drosophilidae
Description: GA32039
Source: RNAcentral